Molecule: ribosomal RNA, 253 nt
Filed under: uncultured bacterium
Lineage: Bacteria
Description: partial 16S ribosomal RNA
Rfam family: Bacterial small subunit ribosomal RNA
Source: RNAcentral
UACGGGGGGGGCAAGCGUUGUUCGGAAUUACUGGGCGUAAAGGGCUCGUAGGCGGCCAACUAAGUCAGACGUGAAAUCCCUCGGCUUAACCGGGGAACUGCGUCUGAUACUGGAUGGCUUGAGUUCGGGAGAGGGAUGCGGAAUUCCAGGUGUAGCGGUGAAAUGCGUAGAUAUCUGGAGGAAUACCGGUGGCGAAGGCGGCAUCCUGGACCGGCAUUGACGCUGAGGAGCGAAAGCCAGGGGAGCAAACGGG